GCAAUAACUCCUAAAGAGGUCAACUGACCAUUUUGGUCAUGUUGACUUAUUUGUAGAUCUUACUUUGCUGAACAUUAUUGUUGUUUACAGUUUUAUCUCUAUCUAUAAUAAUAUUCAAGAUAAUAACCAAAAACAGCAAAAUUUCCUUAAAAUUACCAUUUCAGGGGCAGCAACCCAACAACGGAAUGUCCGAUUCAUCUGAAAAUUUCAGGGCAGAUAGAUCUUGACCUGAUGAACAAUUUUACUGUGUGUCAGAUUUGCUCUAAAUGCUUUGGUUUUUGAGUUAUAAGCCAAAAACUGCAUUUUACCCCUAUGUUCUAUUUUUAGCCAUGGCGGCCAUCUUGGUUGGUUGGCGGGGCACCGGACACAUUUUUUAAACUAGAUACCCCUAAUGAUGAUUAUGGCCAAGUUUGGUUAAAUUUGACCCAGUAGUUUCAGAGGAGAAGAUUUUUCUAAAAGAUUACUAAGAUUUACGAAAAAUGGUUAAAAAUUGACUAUAAAGGGCAAUAACUCCUAAAGUGGUCAACUGACCAUUUUGAUCAUGUUGCCUUAUUUGUAGAUCUUACUUUGCUGAACAUUAUUGCUGUUUACAGUUUAUCUCUAUCUAUAAUAAUAUUCAAGAUAAUAACCAAAAACAGCAAAAUUUCCUUAAAAUUACCAUUUCAGGGGCAGCAACCCAACAACGAAAUGUCCGAUUCAUCUGAAAAUUUCAGGGCAGAUAGAUCUUGACCUGUUGAACAAUAUUACCCCAUGUCAGAUUUGCUCUAAAUGCUUUGGUUUUUGAGUUAUAAGCCAAAAACUGCAUUUUUACCCCUAUGUUCUAUUUUUAGCCAUGGCGGCCAUCUUGGUUGGUUGGCCGGGUCACCGGACACAUUUUUUAAACUAGAUACCCCAAUGAUGAUUGUGGCCAAGUUUGGUUAAAUUUGGCCCAGUAGUUUCAGAGGAGAAGAUUUUUGUAAAAGUUAACGCAGGACGACGACGGACGACGACGACGACGACGACGGACGACGACGGACGCCGGACGCCAAGUGAUGAGAAAAGCUCACUUGGCCCUUUGGGCCAGGUGAGCUAAAAAGGUAACCUGAUGAUAGU
RNAcentral lists this long non-coding RNA (1092 nucleotides) under Mytilus galloprovincialis (Mediterranean mussel). The record is from RNAcentral. Lineage: Eukaryota; Metazoa; Mollusca; Bivalvia; Mytilida; Mytilidae.